This 420-nucleotide small RNA is filed under the name Pongo abelii (Sumatran orangutan). RNAcentral describes it as "processed transcript". The record is from RNAcentral. Lineage: Eukaryota; Metazoa; Chordata; Mammalia; Primates; Hominidae.
AUUUGGUUCUAUACCAACAGCAUCUUUGGAAAAGCUGGGAUCCCUCCGGCAAAGAUCCCGUACGUCACCUUGAGUACAGGGGGCAUUGAGACUUUGGCUGCCAUCUUCUCUGUGGCAUUCCGUUCAUCUUGACUGGUGAGUUCUUCCAGCAAUCUCAGCGGCCGGCUGCCUUCAUCAUCGCAGGCACCGUCAACUGGCUCUCCAACUUUGCUGUUGGGCUCCUCUUCCCAUUCAUUCAGAAAAGUCUGGACACCUACUGUUUCCUAGUCUUUGCUACAAUUUGUAUCACAGGUGCUAUCUACCUAUAUUUUGUGCUGCCUGAGACCAAAAACAGAACCUAUGCAGAAAUCAGCCAGGCAUUUUCCAAAAGGAACAAAGCAUACCCACCAGAAGAGAAAAUUGACUCAGCUGUCACUGAUG